GACGAACGCUGGCGGCGUGCUUAACACAUGCAAGUCGAACGGAAAGGCCCUGCUUUUGUGGGGUGCUCGAGUGGCGAACGGGUGAGUAACACGUGAGUAACCUGCCCUUGACUUUGGGAUAACUUCAGGAAACUGGGGCUAAUACCGGAUAGGAGCUCCUGCUGCAUGGUGGGGGUUGGAAAGUUUCGGCGGUUGGGGAUGGUCUCGCGGCUUAUCAGCUUGUUGGGGGGGUAGUGGCUUACCAAGGCUUUGACGGGUAGCCGGCCUGAGAGGGUGACCGGCCACAUUGGGACUGAGAUACGGCCCAGACUCCUACGGGAGGCGGCAGUGGGGAAUAUUGCACAAUGGGCGGAAGCCUGAUGCAGCAACGCCGCGUGCGGGAUGACGGCCUUCGGGUUGUAAACCGCUUUCGCCUGUGACGAAGCGUGAGUGACGGUAAUGGGUAAAGAAGCACCGGCUAACUACGUG
This 468-nucleotide ribosomal RNA is filed under the name uncultured bacterium. RNAcentral's name for it is "partial 16S ribosomal RNA". It matches the Rfam family "Bacterial small subunit ribosomal RNA", at positions 28 to 507 of the family's 1533-position model. The record is from RNAcentral.